Molecule: ribosomal RNA, 514 nt
Filed under: uncultured bacterium
Lineage: Bacteria
Description: partial 16S ribosomal RNA
Rfam family: Bacterial small subunit ribosomal RNA
Source: RNAcentral
GAUGAACGCUGGCGGCGUGCCUAAUACAUGCAAGUCGAGCGAACAGAUGAGAAGCUUGCUUCUCUGAUGUUAGCGGCGGACGGGUGAGUAACACGUGGGUAACCUACCUAUAAGACUGGGAUAACUCCGGGAAACCGGGGCUAAUACCGGACAUUAUUUUGAACCGCAUGGCUCAAUAGUGAAAGCCGGUUUCGGCUUACCCUUAUAGAUUACCUUGCGGUGCAUUAGUUAGUUGGUGGGGUAAUGGCCUACCAAGACGAUGAUGCAUAGCCGACCUGAGAGGGUGAUCGGCCACAUUGGGACUGAGACACGGCCCAAACUCCUACGGGAGGCAGCAGUAGGGAAUCUUCCGCAAUGGGCGAAAGCCUGACGGAGCAAUGCCGCGUGAGUGAAGAAGGCCUUCGGGUCGUAAAACUCUGUUAUAAGAGAAGAACAAAUUGUAGAGUAACUGCUACAGUCUUGACGGUAUCUUAUCAGAAAGCCACGGCUAACUACGUGCCAGCCGCCGCAGUAA